RNAcentral lists this ribosomal RNA (478 nucleotides) under uncultured bacterium. RNAcentral's name for it is "partial 16S ribosomal RNA". It matches the Rfam family "Bacterial small subunit ribosomal RNA", at positions 28 to 523 of the family's 1533-position model. The record is from RNAcentral.
GACGAACGCUGGCGGCGUGCUUAACACAUGCAAGUCGAACGGUAAGGCCCUUCGGGGUACACGAGUGGCGAACGGGUGAGUAACACGUGGGUGAUCUGCCCUGCACUUCGGGAUAAGCCUGGGAAACUGGGUCUAAUACCGGAUAGGACCACUGCCUGCAUGGGUGGUGGUGGAAAGCUUUUGCGGUGUGGGAUGGGCCCGCGGCCUAUCAGCUUGUUGGUGGGGUGAUGGCCUACCAAGGCGACGACGGGUAGCCGGCCUGAGAGGGUGACCAGCCACACUGGGACAGGGAGACGGCCCAGAUUCCUUCGGGAGGCAGCAGUGGGGAAUAUUGCACAAUGGGCGCAAGCCUGAUGCAGCGACGCCGCGUGGGGGAUGACGGCCUUCGGGUUGUAAACCUCUUUCAGCACCGACGAAGCGCAAGUGACGGUAGGUGCAGAAGAAGGACCGGCCAACUACGUGCCAGCCGCCGCCGUAA